This 609-nucleotide ribosomal RNA is filed under the name Statesia pompholyx. Its description in RNAcentral is "eukaryotic LSU rRNA". The stretch from base 216 to 370 matches the Rfam family "5.8S ribosomal RNA". The record is from RNAcentral. Lineage: Eukaryota; Fungi; Basidiomycota; Agaricomycetes; Hysterangiales; Hysterangiaceae.
GGAAGGAUCAUUAAUGAAACGUCGAAUGAAAGCGUGGCGGGAGUCUCCUCGCUUCUGCGGCACUCCCGUCUAUGCGUCCACACACACCCUGUGCACCACGCAGCGGACGUCUCUCUCCCUGUUCUGCAGGGGGGUACGGAGGUGUCCGCUGUCCCUCCUUGUAUUUACAAAUGCCAGUGACGAAGCAUGUCUAGUGACGAAAAAGUUAACAUUACAACUUUCAACAACGGAUCUCUUGGCUUUCGCAUCGAUGAAGAACGCAGCGAAAGCGCGAAACGUAGUGUGAAUUGCAGAAUUCAGUGAAUCAUCGAAUCUUUGAACGCACCUUGCGCUCCUUGGUAUUCCGAGGAGCAUGCCUGUUUGAGUGUCGUGAAGUCCCUCGAACCCCCGUGGCACUUUUACUGUGCUUUCGGGGGGUCGGAUUUGGACGUUGCCGGUGACCCCUCUUUUCAAAGGGGGGUGCGGCUCGUCUCGAAAUGCAUUAGCCGUUCCCACAUCGGUUCCGCAGACGGUGGCGUGAUAAAGUCUUAUUCGCUCGCGUCGGCGGUAACAAAUGGGGGUGGCUCACAGUCGUCCCACCGGGACAAAGGAUGGAAACGUCUCAAAUCC